CUUUGAUUUCAGCCUUGUGAGACCCUAAACAGAGAACCGAGUUGAGCCAUGCCAGACUUCUGACCCACAGAAAUGGGAGAUAAUUCAUUUGUGUUCUUUUAAGUCACUGCAUUUAUGGUAAUUUGCUCUGCAACCAUAGAAAACUAAUGCAGUAACAGAAUAUGAUGAGUCUUUGUAUCUUAUGGGACCCAGGCCUCAGCUGUGGUGGGAGGCCCCAGCGUCCCGCGGACCUGGUGGUGUACAGCGGAUGCCAGUGGUAAAUGGUGAAGCAUGUUAAUGUGAGCCACCAGAACCUACAGGCUGAUGCAGUCUAGGGAAAUUGACUGCACACAUCUCCACAAAGUGCAGCUCAGCAAGACUGCUCUGGCCUGCCAAAGCCCCUGCUCCCGCAAUGUCCUCCAGCGCUUACCCCAGAAGGCAGGGCAAGUGUAGGGUCAGCUGGCUCGCCUCCCUCACUGAUCAUCCUUUGUGGCAGUUGUCCAAUGUCUGAGAAGCUGCUUCCCACAACUUUUUUCCUGGCUUCGUGGAACACGGAUAGUCAAUCUUUUGGAAGAUUAGCCCUGAGCUAACAUCUGCUGCCAAUUCUCCUCUUCCUGCCAAGGAAGACAGGCCCCGAGCCAACAUCUGUGCCCAUCCUCCUCUCCUUUUCAUGUGGGAUGCCUGCCACAGCAUGGCUUGACAAGCACUGCGUAGGUCCACAACCAGGAUCUGAACCAGCAAACCCAGGGCUGCAAAGCGGAGAAUGUGAACCUAACCCCUGUGCGACCUGACCAGCCCUUGAAAUUUCAAUCUUUUGAAGUUUGUUGAGAUGAUUUGUGAUCAAUCAUAUGGUCGGUUUUGGUAAAUGUUCUGAGGGUACCUUUAAAAACUAUGUAUUCUGAAAGUUUUGGAUGUUUUAUAUCGUCUUAUUCAUACGUACAGCACCAAUAUAUAGCAAAUAGCCGGAGCCCAAGGCAUACCAAAUUGACUAACUCAAAGGUUUUAUCCUAUUGUGGUGAUUCCAGACCAAGCAAGAGAGGAGGAGGAUGACAUCACAGGGGUGCAGGCAGAGAGAAAACUAUUCCAGGGAGCACGGACCUCACAGAGGAACCCCAAGUCACAGCAUUCAGGUUCCCCUAUUCCAACCAAUAUUAAUGCCAAUGCUUUAUGUGAUGUAAAUUAUCCCAAUGUUUUUCUUCCUCUGUUUCUACCAAUUUUCUCUUCAUUGGUUAUAAGCUCCGUAUCAAGAGUGUUUGACAGUGGGGUACUUGAGAUGGGAAAUAUCUUGGGAAAUCUUGAGAAAAGUUAAUGACGUUGAUUUAUAAAGCUCAUAGAGACAUAUAAGAAAUGGUUAAUUUUAUUUCUCCAUUUUUCUCCAAAAAUUCAUAAUUGCUUCUGAGAUUACAUGAGUUUAGAAGAUAUCUACUAUCUCUACCCAAAGGUCCCAUGUUUCAAGUAGAAUCAUUUUUAAUUUUCCCAGUUCUAGUGUCACUUUCUAUUUCUUACAAACAUUGCUCAAGGUCACAACUGUUAGUAACGUACAUCUUCUAACACAUUUAACUUCCCUAUCUAACCCUUCUGCCACUCUUGUGCUGGACCCUGAAAGUUUGAUUAUAGGAGGAAGCGAGGAAAGAGAUCUAGACAAGGCUGAUAGCACAUUCCGGAGGCUUAUAAGCUGCCUCGUGCGCCCCGCUGCAGAUCUCUUCAACCUCCGAGUCCAGCCACAGCUCUAGUGGACAGUUCUGGGCCGGUUUCACCCUGCUCUGUGCAGACAGUGCUGCCCUUCAGGGACCAAGAACCGAGCUUCCUGUCCCCAGGCUUCUCUGAUGCGGCACUGUGUGACGCUCUGGUACCAGGAGGCUCUCCUGUAUUUGCAACCCAUAGGGAUGGGGGAAUUAACGUCCCAUGGGAGCAGCCCUCAGCACACAGUACAGAGAAAUGCUUCCCCUGUUCGUCCCUCGGGCAGCCAGUUCUGAGAUAAAGUUUAAUAAGAAUCCUGAGGAGGUUCUGCGCUAAGUAACCACAACAGUAGCGGACC
RNAcentral lists this long non-coding RNA (2017 nucleotides) under Equus caballus (horse). Its description in RNAcentral is "lncRNA (ENSECAG00000057105.1)". The record is from RNAcentral. Lineage: Eukaryota; Metazoa; Chordata; Mammalia; Perissodactyla; Equidae.